GAAAUGUAUUGUGAGACAACAAGUAAAACUGGUAAGACAAGAUAUGCUAUGGUAUCCGGCCAUCCUAGAGGUGGUUGACCAUCAACAAAAUUGAAAAUCCAAGAGGUUCCACUCCCACUUUGUCGAGCACCAACUGUAGUAGGACCCGCAAGAGAAGGAAUCCAAAAGAAACCUUCAUUAAGAAGUCCCUCAUUAGCCACAUUAGACAGUGCUCUAUAUAGUCCAAUCCAAACGGGUAUUGUAGCAAGAGUAGGCAGGCAACCGGCCAAAGGGUUCACACCAGCUAACUUAUACAAGCGAGCAAUUUCAAGUUGUAUUCUUUCUUGGUCCCCAGCAUAACGUUGUUGGAUAGCCUUCACUUGAGGUUGAAGUGAUCGCAUAGCUAAUGCUGACUCAACCUGUUUCUUUGACAAGGGAAAUGUGGCAGCCUUCACAAGGAC
This 440-nucleotide unclassified non-coding RNA is filed under the name Hevea brasiliensis (rubber tree). The record is from RNAcentral. Lineage: Eukaryota; Viridiplantae; Streptophyta; Magnoliopsida; Malpighiales; Euphorbiaceae.